This is a long non-coding RNA of Amblyraja radiata (thorny skate), 643 nucleotides long. RefSeq lists it as uncharacterized. The record is from RefSeq and is a predicted model, not a curated record. Lineage: Eukaryota; Metazoa; Chordata; Chondrichthyes; Rajiformes; Rajidae. The transcript is spliced from 3 exons.
AUGUAAUUGCUGCAGUUUGGGCCACUCAGCCGACCACUUACCCACAUUAUGGUGCCGCAAACAACGCCAUAGAUGGAAACUUUGACAUGAGCUAAGUCACUCGUCGUGUAGCUGCACCGGCCGACAGUGCUGCCCCUGGUGGAGAGUGGAUCUGCAGAAACACUACCGGCUCUUCAUCGUCAACAUCAUCAAUGUGAACCGCAGAACCAACAGACUGAACGGAGCCGAGAUCCGCAUUGGAGGCUCGCUGGAGAACAACGGGAACAACAACACUCUCUGCGCAAAGAUCAAUUACAUCCCCACCGGAAACACCGCCAGCUUCUACUGUGCCGAGGUGUGGGGUUUUUCUCACCCUGUGCGAGGUGCAGGCGUUCGGAGCGCACGACCCUCACCGAUCCAGUCCAGAACCACUUUGUGCUUUCGGCUUGUGCAACCGGUUCAAAUUGUGAACGGAUCCACCUCCAUAUCCCACGCUAUUCCGGGUUGUCCUCGCUUCACGCAGCAAUUUAACAGCGAUGGUGGAUGUGAGACCGGCGAGUGUCCUCCCUCCAUUCACUGCCUGUAUUGAGGUUUCCAUUCUCUGGGCCUACGUGCAGAUUACAAUUCGAGCUUUUUCUGUCAGUUUAAACCAGCUGUCUGUAAA